AGCGAACGCUGGCGGCAGGCCUAACACAUGCAAGUCGAACGAACCUUUCGGGGUUAGUGGCGGACGGGUGAGUAACACGUGGGAACGUGCCUUUAGGUUCGGAAUAACUCAGGGAAACUUGUGCUAAUACCGAAUGUGCCCUUCGGGGGAAAGAUUAAUCGCCUUUAGAGCGGCCCGCGUCUGAUUAGCUAGUUGGUUGAGGUAAUGGCUCACCAAGGCGACGAUCAGUAGCUGGCCUGAGAGGAUGAUCAGCCACAUUGGGACUGAGACACGGCCCAAACUCCUACGGGAGGCAGCAGUGGGGAAUCUUGCGCAAUGGGCGAAAGCCUGACGCAGCCAUGCCGCGUGAAUGAUGAAGGUCUUAGGAUUGUAAAAUUCUUUCACCGGGGACGAUAAUGACGGUACCCGGAGAAGAAGCCCCGGCUAACUUCGUG
Molecule: ribosomal RNA, 434 nt
Filed under: uncultured bacterium
Lineage: Bacteria
Description: partial 16S ribosomal RNA
Rfam family: Bacterial small subunit ribosomal RNA
Source: RNAcentral